RNAcentral lists this ribosomal RNA (466 nucleotides) under Vreelandella stevensii. RNAcentral's name for it is "partial 16S ribosomal RNA". It matches the Rfam family "Bacterial small subunit ribosomal RNA", at positions 338 to 795 of the family's 1533-position model. Lineage: Bacteria; Pseudomonadati; Pseudomonadota; Gammaproteobacteria; Oceanospirillales; Halomonadaceae. The record is from RNAcentral.
CCUACGGGGUGGCUGCAGUGGGGAAUAUUGGACAAUGGGGGCAACCCUGAUCCAGCCAUGCCGCGUGUGUGAAGAAGGCCCUCGGGUUGUAAAGCACUUUCAGUGAGGAAGAACGCCUGGUGGUUAAUACCCAUCAGGAAAGACAUCACUCACAGAAGAAGCACCGGCUAACUCCGUGCCAGCAGCCGCGGUAAUACGGAGGGUGCGAGCGUUAAUCGGAAUUACUGGGCGUAAAGCGCGCGUAGGUGGCUUGAUAAGCCGGUUGUGAAAGCCCCGGGCUCAACCUGGGAACGGCAUCCGGAACUGUCAAGCUAGAGUGCAGGAGAGGAAGGUAGAAUUCCCGGUGUAGCGGUGAAAUGCGUAGAGAUCGGGAGGAAUACCAGUGGCGAAGGCGGCCUUCUGGACUGACACUGACACUGAGGUGCGAAAGCGUGGGUAGCAAACAGGAUUAGAUACCCUUGUAGUC